Hippocampus comes (tiger tail seahorse) is the source of this 930-nucleotide long non-coding RNA. RefSeq lists it as uncharacterized. The transcript is spliced from 3 exons. NCBI's taxonomy places the organism in Eukaryota, Metazoa, Chordata, Actinopteri, Syngnathiformes, Syngnathidae. The record is from RefSeq and is a predicted model, not a curated record.
AGCAGCGAGAAAAGACAGCAGACCAUCGCACAUCCCUUGGAGAAGUCAUUCUCCAGAUCAUCGGCGAGCUCUGCGGAAAUCUGACAUUGAACCUGUUCAUUUGAAUCAGGUGUGUUGCAACUUGGAAAACAUGCAGGACAGCGGCCCCCCAGGACCUGAGUUUGACACCCCUGUUCUAAAGCAACUCAUUUCGUUUGCGCUGCAAACUUGACAAAAAUACCGGUGCCAGCAGCUCACGGCUUACAAAAGCUCGCCGACCAACUUGAACAAGCAUAUUGAGACGCGCCAAUUGCGGGCACGCCCUCGUGACUUCCGUUGCCCUUUUUGAGGUGGAGGGACCUCGGACAGAUGAGAGAUUCCAGGACUGAGGCCGAAUUAGCAACAUUUGGACCUGGCAGGGACCUGGCACUCGCAACGCUCUCAAUCGUCCAGACUUCCCUCGCGCGUGUGUGCGCGUCGUCAUGAGUAGAAAUGAUCUCAUCCAUAUUCUCGGGAUGAACCGCAGUGGCUCCGCUGGCUGACUUUAACGAAGGCCCAUAAAACCCUCCUGCGGCCGUUCACCACGGUCGCCCAUAACAACACUUGGCACCACUGAUCAUGAAUGUGAAAUGCAAGCAUCAUAGGGGAAAUAUUCAUUCAUUCUGUCGACAAUUUGGAAUAAUAAUGCCUUUUUUUUUCUUUCUUUUACCAACCUGUGACUGCUUAACUCAGUGAAAAGCGGUUUCCGUCCAAUAUGCAGUGGAACCUUUUGAGGUCCUUCUUUUUACUUGCCGCUCCAAAGGUCACUGCACGCCCUUGAGGAGCACACGAGAGCUCGAAUUCAAACUGCCAACCUCCGAACCGUGCGCCAGAUGUGCUCAGCACUAGGUCACCGUGCCACCACACCAUGAUCAGUCAUUCACCCAAAAAAAAAAAAAAAAAAAAAAAAAA